GGUGGGUAGAGCGUCUACUGCCCGUUAUACAGACAGUUUUGCUUUGCGUGUAUGCUUGGGUUGGAGGACGGUGUGAGAUUGGGAGCUCUGUGGCGCUCUGUCCGAUGUCGAUCGGGCGUCCGCGCUAAGCUCGGCGUCAAUAUGGGCAUUCCAGGGGAGCCCGGAGUGGCCAGGUUGUCCAAGGAGGAACGCACCGGGCGAGGCCCGAAAGGGAGCAGCCAAAAGUUCCCACGUUGAUCAGUAGCGGGAUAGCGCCUGUGAAUAGGCGGAGCGUUGCAGCCCAGUCAAUAUCGCGGAACCCAAUCCUUU
Non-coding RNA from Ciona savignyi (Pacific transparent sea squirt), 309 nucleotides. Lineage: Eukaryota; Metazoa; Chordata; Ascidiacea; Phlebobranchia; Cionidae. The record is from Rfam.